This 253-nucleotide ribosomal RNA is filed under the name uncultured bacterium. RNAcentral's name for it is "partial 16S ribosomal RNA". It matches the Rfam family "Bacterial small subunit ribosomal RNA", at positions 524 to 776 of the family's 1533-position model. The record is from RNAcentral.
UACGUAGGGUCCGAGCGUUGUCCGGAAUUAUUGGGCGUAAAGGGCUCGUAGGCGGUUUGUCGCGUCGGGAGUGAAAACUCAGGGCUCAACCCUGAGCGUGCUUCCGAUACGGGCAGACUAGAGGUAUGCAGGGGAGAACGGAAUUCCUGGUGUAGCGGUGGAAUGCGCAGAUAUCAGGAGGAACACCGGUGGCGAAGGCGGGUCUCUGGGCCGAAACUGACGCUGAGGAGCGAAAGCGUGGGGAGCAAACAGG